CUGAUGACAGUAGAGCCAUUCAGAUGGCUGGGUUCACUCUUAAGUGCAAGAAGGCACGAGAGUGGUUCAAGAAUUAUGUGAACUCCAGAGUAGACAGCAUGUCUUGGGAGGAGUUUGCAAACGAGUUUGCAGGAUGGGCUUUCCCAGAUAGUUCAAGGGAGCUGAAGAUGAUAGAGUUUGAGCAGUUGAGGCAGACUGAUGAGAUGAGUGUAGA
RNAcentral lists this long non-coding RNA (214 nucleotides) under Manihot esculenta (cassava). RNAcentral's name for it is "long non-coding RNA (MESC_LNC004066)". Lineage: Eukaryota; Viridiplantae; Streptophyta; Magnoliopsida; Malpighiales; Euphorbiaceae. The record is from RNAcentral.